GUCCUAGCCGUAAACGAUGGGCACUAGGUGUGGGAGGUAUCGACCCCUUCCGUGCCGGAGCUAACGCAUUAAGUGCCCCGCCUGGGGAGUACGGCCGCAAGGUUGAAACUCAAAGGAAUUGACGGGGCCCGCACAAGCGGUGGAGCAUGUGGUUUAAUUCGACGCAACGCGAAGAACCUUACCAGGGCUUGACAUCCUCGGAACUAGUCUGAAAGGACUGGGUGCCCCGCAAGGGGAACCGAGAGACAGGUGGUGCAUGGCUGUCGU
RNAcentral lists this ribosomal RNA (267 nucleotides) under uncultured bacterium. Its description in RNAcentral is "partial 16S ribosomal RNA". It matches the Rfam family "Bacterial small subunit ribosomal RNA", at positions 793 to 1055 of the family's 1533-position model. The record is from RNAcentral.